UCGUGGUCGAACAUUCAAAAUGUUAAUAAGGGAGGUAACUUUCUGCUGGCGACUUAGACACAGCCGGCAGGCCAGCGCCUCGGGUGGAUUGUAAAUACCGUCUCAGCAGUCGGCUAACAUCUGCGGCUAUUUACCGACGGAGCCGAUGGCCGAUUACAAUAGGUAUGCUGUGAGCACAAAUAUCAGCUAUCAGAUAGCUAAGUAAGAAUUACUUAUCGGUUGGAAAACUUCGAUUUGAAAUCGCUUUAUGAGGCAAACAAACGCUGUUCUUACCUGGAGAUGUUGCAAAGUUUGCCGCUUGUUACUAAGCAGGCCCUAAGUUGGUAAACGUGCGCUGGCACGUGUGCGGUUAAAUUUUCGGCUUGCUCAGCUAAGAGCACUGCACACAGGAUGGUUAUCAAACCAAGCUGCCUCUUAAAAGUAGGCACUCUCCAUCCACGAGCGAGACAACUUAAAAUCACAACAAAAUUGACGGUG
Long non-coding RNA from Ostrinia nubilalis (European corn borer), 477 nucleotides. RefSeq lists it as uncharacterized. Lineage: Eukaryota; Metazoa; Arthropoda; Insecta; Lepidoptera; Crambidae. The record is from RefSeq and is a predicted model, not a curated record. The transcript is spliced from 3 exons.